UGGGGAAUAUUGCGCAAUGGACGAAAGUCUGACGCAGCAACGCCGCGUGAGGGAUGACGGCCUUCGGGUUGUAAACCUCUUUCAGCAGGGACGAAGCGAGAGUGACGGUACCUGCAGAAGAAGGACCGGCCAACUACGUGCCAGCAGCCGCGGUAAUACGUAGGGUCCGAGCGUUGUCCGGAAUUAAUGGGCGUAAAGGGCUCGUAGGCGGUUCGUCACGUCGGGAGUGAAAACUCGGAGCUUAACUCCGAGCCUGCUUCCGAUACGGGCAGACUAGAGGUAGGCAGGGGAGAGCGGAACUCCUGGUGUAGCGGUGGAAUGCGCAGAUAUCAGGAAGAACACCGGUGGCGAAGGCGGCUCUCUGGGCCUUACCUGACGCUGAGGAGCGAAAGCGUGGGUAGCGAACAGG
Molecule: ribosomal RNA, 409 nt
Filed under: bacterium
Lineage: Bacteria
Description: partial 16S ribosomal RNA
Rfam family: Bacterial small subunit ribosomal RNA
Source: RNAcentral